RNAcentral lists this transfer RNA (83 nucleotides) under Lachnospiraceae bacterium. RNAcentral's name for it is "tRNA-Leu". It matches the Rfam family "tRNA". From Rfam's summary of the family: Transfer RNA (tRNA) molecules are approximately 80 nucleotides in length. Lineage: Bacteria; Bacillati; Bacillota; Clostridia; Lachnospirales; Lachnospiraceae. The record is from RNAcentral.
GCCGCCAUGGCGGAAUGGCAGACGCGUCAGACUCAAAAUCUGAUAAUGGUAACAUUGUGUGGGUUCAAGUCCCACUGGCGGCA